Molecule: transfer RNA, 69 nt
Filed under: Salamandrina terdigitata (spectacled salamander)
Lineage: Eukaryota; Metazoa; Chordata; Amphibia; Caudata; Salamandridae
Description: tRNA-Val
Source: RNAcentral
CAAAUUAUAGCUUAACAAAAGCAUCUUGCUUACACCAAGAAAAUACCCGCUAAAUUCGAGUUAAUUUGA